UGGCUCAGUGAGGCCUUCGGACUGGCUCGAGGAGGUUGGCAACGACCACCUCAAGCCGGAAAGUUCGUCAAACUCGGUCAUUUAGAGGAAGUAAAAGUCGUAACAAGGUCUCCGUAGGUGAACCUGCGGAGGGAUCAUUACACAAAUAUGAAGGCGGGCUGGAACCUCUCGGGGUUACAGCCUUGCUGAAUUAUUCACCCUUGUCUUUUGCGUACUUCUUGUUUCCUUGGUGGGUUCGCCCACCACUAGGACAAACAUAAACCUUUUGUAAUUGCAAUCAGCGUCAGUAACAAAUUAAUAAUUACAACUUUCAACAACGGAUCUCUUGGUUCUGGCAUCGAUGAAGAACGCAGCGAAAUGCGAUAAGUAGUGUGAAUUGCAGAAUUCAGUGAAUCAUCGAAUCUUUGAACGCACAUUGCGCCCUUUGGUAUUCCAAAGGGCAUGCCUGUUCGAGCGUCAUUUGUACCCUCAAGCUUUGCUUGGUGUUGGGCGUCUUGUCUCUAGCUUUGCUGGAGACUCGCCUUAAAGUAAUUGGCAGCCGGCCUACUGGUUUCGGAGCGCAGCACAAGUCGCACUCUCUAUCAGCAAAGGUCUAGCAUCCAUUAAGCCUUUUUUUCAACUUUUGACCUCGGA
This 633-nucleotide ribosomal RNA is filed under the name Alternaria sp. CN-2011d. Its description in RNAcentral is "eukaryotic LSU rRNA". The stretch from base 306 to 459 matches the Rfam family "5.8S ribosomal RNA". The record is from RNAcentral. Lineage: Eukaryota; Fungi; Ascomycota; Dothideomycetes; Pleosporales; Pleosporaceae.